CACAUGCAAGCCGAGCGGGAUUUGUUGGUUAGCUUGCUAACUGAUAAUGAGAGCGGCGUACGGGUGCGGAACAUGUGUGCAAUCUGCCCUUAUCAAGGGGAUAGCCCAGAGAAAUCUGGAUUAAUACCCUAUAACAUAUGGGAUAGCAUCAUUUCAUAUUAAAAGCUACGGCGGAUAAGGAUGAGCACGCACAAGAUUAGCUAGUUGGUAAGGUAACGGCUUACCAAGGCGACGAUCUUUAGGGGGCCUGAGAGGGUGAUCCCCCACACUGGGACUGAGACGCGGCCCAGACUCCUACGGGAGGCAGCAGUGAGGAAUAUUGGACAAUGGGUGGAAGCUUGAUCCAGCCAUCCCGCGUGCAGGACGACUGCCCUAUGGGUUGUAAACUGCUUUUAUAUAGGGAUAAACCUACUCUCGUGAGGGUAGCUGAAGGUACUAUAUGAAUAAGCACCGGCUAACUCCGUGCCAGCAGCCGCGGUAAUACGGAGGGUGCAAGCGUUAUCCGGAUUUAUUGGGCUUAAAGGGUCCGUAGGUGGGCUGAUAAGUCAGCGGUGAAAUCCUGCAGCUUAACUGUAGAACUGCCGUUGAUACUGUUAGUCUUGAGUGUAUUUGAAGUGGCUGGAAUAAGUAGUGUAGCGGUGAAAUGCAUAGAUAUUACUUAGAACACCAAUUGCGAAGGCAGGUCACUAAGAUACAACUGACGCUGAGGGACGAAAGCGUGGGGAGCGAACAGGAUUAGAUACCCUGGUAGUCCACGCUGUAAACGAUGCUAACUCGUUUUUGGUUUUUAUGAAUCAGAGACUAAGCGAAAGUGAUAAGUUAGCCACCUGG
RNAcentral lists this ribosomal RNA (831 nucleotides) under uncultured Bacteroidota bacterium. RNAcentral describes it as "bacterial SSU rRNA". It matches the Rfam family "Bacterial small subunit ribosomal RNA", at positions 52 to 876 of the family's 1533-position model. The record is from RNAcentral. Lineage: Bacteria; Pseudomonadati; Bacteroidota.